GCAUAUCACUAAGCGGAGGAAAAGAAACUAACUAGGAUUCCCCCAGUAACUGCGAGUGAAGAGGGAAGAGCUCAUCAUUGGAAUCUGGCAGUGUUGCACUGUCCGAGUUGUAGAUGAGGAGUAGUCCAUCUGGACUGCAUGGCGUCCAAGUACAAUAGGCCGUCAGUGGGACAUCAUAGAGGGUGACAAUCCCGUCCUUGAUGCCAAUGUGCAAGUUCAUUACGAUGGCUAUCUCAGAGAGUCGAGCAGUUUGGGAUUUGCUGCUUAAACAUGGGAGGUAGAUUCCUUCUAAAGCUAAAUACAGGCGAGAGACCGAUAGAGAACAAGUACCGCAAGGGAAAGAUGAAAUAGCACUCUGUGAAGGGAGUCAAAAAGGCGUGAAAUUGUUGCGAGAGAAGCGAUUCAAGUCAGCGUAGCUAGGCCCAUCAAGCCUCUUUGCUUUGGACUAGCUUUGCCAGCGGUCUUGUCCUUAAGAGACUUGACUUUGUAAAUGUCCAGUCUGGUAUGCACAGGCAGCUCCUCUUGGGGGGCCAGUGACAUGGCUGGUGGAAUGGCUUGCAAUCGACCCGUCUUGAAACACGGACCAAGGAGUCUAACAUGUAUGCGAGUAUAAGGGUGGCAAACCCGUAUGCGCAAUGAAAGUGAUUUUCGAUGAUUGAGAAUGGCCUGAUGACCAGACAAGCAAUAUUAUGUCCCUCGUACGGCCAUUGCCCAAGUUCCGUGGUAGAUCCCAUGAACAUGGAGUUGGAGCAUACAUGCUAGGACCCGAAAGAUGGUGAACUAUGCCUGGACAAAGCGAAGCCAAAGGAAACUCUGGUGGAGGCUUGUAGCGAUUCUGACGUGCAAAUCGAUCG
This 854-nucleotide ribosomal RNA is filed under the name Cantharellus sp. JPN3. RNAcentral describes it as "eukaryotic LSU rRNA". It matches the Rfam family "Eukaryotic large subunit ribosomal RNA", at positions 38 to 904 of the family's 3401-position model. Lineage: Eukaryota; Fungi; Basidiomycota; Agaricomycetes; Cantharellales; Hydnaceae. The record is from RNAcentral.